Non-coding RNA from Rattus norvegicus (Norway rat), 421 nucleotides. Lineage: Eukaryota; Metazoa; Chordata; Mammalia; Rodentia; Muridae. The record is from RefSeq and is a predicted model, not a curated record.
UCAAAUACUUGAGUAUUCUAAGAUAGCUUUUGUCUGCUUGAUGCUUGGUUCCCAGCAGGAAGUCCUAGGCACCUGGUGGUUUUGGGAAGCCGUAGGCACCUGAUGUUUUCUAAGAUAGUUUUAGUCUGCUUGAUCCACACAUUCCACACUUUCCAGCUUGUGACUAUUACAAAAAGGGGCUGGUCAGGAUGAGCAAGACAAAAGGACGGCCUCAGUUGCUUAACCUGAACCUGCUCUGAGCUUUGCAUUAACUCAAAUGUAGACCACAAGACUGUGUAGACUCUGGGAUCCAAGACUUUAAUGAUGGAAAAGAGGAAGCCAAGAAACCAAGAACAAAAUCACAUACCAAUGGAAUUGAGGCCACCCUGGAAGGUUGGCUAUUAGGUCUGCUAAAACAUAUUUAUUAAAACAUAUGGUGUGA